UGCGAGUCGAGAGCUUUCGGAGCUCGGCAUACUGCUCAGUAACACGUGGGUAACCUGCCCUGUGCUGGGGGAUAACCUCGGGAAACUGAGAACAAUACCCCAUAGUCCACUACGCCUGGAACGGUGAGUGGAUGAAAGCCCCGGCGGCACAGGAUGGGCCUGCGGCGUAUCAGGUAGUAGGGGGUGUAAAGUACCCUCUAGCCUUCGACGCGUACGGGUUGUGAGAGCAAUAGCCCGGAGAUGGAUUCUGAGACACGAAUCCAGGUCCUACGGGACGCAGCAGUCGCGAAACCUUGACAAUGCGGGAAACCGUGAUCAGGGGACUCCAAGUGCCAGGAGUAAGAUCCUGUGCUUUUCUUUUCUCUUCAAAGGAUUUGGAAUAAGAGGUGGGUAAGGACGGUGCCAGCCGCCGCGGUAAUACCGGCGCCUCGAGUGGUAGUCGAUUUUAUUGGGCCUAAAACGUCCGUCGCCGGUCUGGUGCAUUCGUGGGUAAAUCAACCCGCUCAACGGGUUGAAUUCUGCGAGCACGGCCAGACUAGGGACCGGGAGAGGUGUGGGGUACGCUCGGGGUAGGGGUAAAAUCCUGUCAUCCCGAGCGGACCACCUGUUGCGAAGGCUCCACACUAGAACGGAUGCGACGGUCAGGGACGAAGCCUAGGGGCACGAACCGGAUUAGAUACCCGGGUAGUCCUAGGUGUAAACGCUGUGGACUUGGUGUUGGGAGCUCCCAGAGGGCCCUCAGUGCCGUAGCGAAGGUGAUAAGUCCACUGCCUGGGGAGUACGGUCGCAA
Molecule: ribosomal RNA, 790 nt
Filed under: uncultured euryarchaeote
Lineage: Archaea; Methanobacteriati; Methanobacteriota
Description: bacterial SSU rRNA
Rfam family: Archaeal small subunit ribosomal RNA
Source: RNAcentral